GGGCACAUGGUCUAGUGGUAUGAUACUCCCUUCGCAUAACAAAAUUCACUGUGAUUUGGGAGGGGUCCGGGGUUCAAUUCCCUGUGUGUCCA
Molecule: non-coding RNA, 92 nt
Organism: Xylaria sp. FL0064
Lineage: Eukaryota; Fungi; Ascomycota; Sordariomycetes; Xylariales; Xylariaceae
Source: the annotation of a GenBank genome assembly